CCUACGGGAGGCAGCAGUGGGGGAUAUUGCACAAUGGGGGGAAGCCUGAUGCAGCGACGCCGCGUGGGUGAAGAAGCGCCUCGGCGCGUAAAGCCCUGUCAGCAGGGAAGAAAAUGACGGUACCUGAAGAAGAAGCCCCGGCUAACUACGUGCCAGCAGCCGCGGUAAUACGUAGGGGGCAAGCGUUAUCCGGAUUUACUGGGGGUAAAGGGGGCGCAGACGGCGAUGCAAGCCAGGAGUGAAAGCCCGGGGCUCAACCCCUGGACUGCCCUUGGAACUGCGUGGCUGGAGUGCAGGAGGGGCAGGCGGAAUUCCUGGUGUAGCGGUGAAAUGCGUAGAUAUCAGGAAGAACACCGGUGGCGAAGGCGGCCUGCUGGACUGCAACUGACGUUGAGGCCCGAAAGCGUGGGGAGCAAACAGGAUUAGAUACCCCAGUAGUC
RNAcentral lists this ribosomal RNA (440 nucleotides) under uncultured bacterium. Its description in RNAcentral is "partial 16S ribosomal RNA". It matches the Rfam family "Bacterial small subunit ribosomal RNA", at positions 338 to 795 of the family's 1533-position model. The record is from RNAcentral.